This 10104-nucleotide long non-coding RNA is filed under the name Gallus gallus (chicken). Its description in RNAcentral is "lncRNA (ENSGALG00010003168.1)". Lineage: Eukaryota; Metazoa; Chordata; Aves; Galliformes; Phasianidae. The record is from RNAcentral.
AGAGGUUUUGUGGGUAACUCCGCCUCCUCCUACAUGACAAUUUCUAGAAACUAUUAAAUAUCAUAUUAAUACACUUCUCUGGGAAAAAGAAAAAAUAUUUGGGUUGGCAUAGCACUCUGCUAGGAAGGCUGGCUCAUGCGUCCCAGGUGAUGAAACCAGACAAAUAAUAAAAUGAGGAGAGGAGAAGCAAAGAGAAAUAUGUUUCUUUCAUCUACUCUGACUUUCCACCUUAUUGUUGGAAAAGCAUGGAAAAAGUAUAUAAUUUUUUUACAUGGACUUUCCAAAUUCUUCUCAGUGAAGGCUAUUUUUUGCUGUUGCAAAUAAUCUUCUAAUACAUGAUCCUGUCUGGACUACAAAAAGAACAAUGUUGGCUGCUUCUCUGCUGUGUAUCUACUUCUUUCAAUCUUUGUCUUCAUUCUGCACCUACUGCCUCCAUGAGUGUGAGCUGAACCAUCUUGACCAUGGUGCAACCAGCAUCCAGCACCAUUUCUGCUACAUCCUUUCCACCAGCAGCAGAAUCGAGUCCAUGGGAGUUUAGACUUCUGGGUGAUAACUCAGCAUAUGCCAAUAAGAGCAGCCAAGUUUACAGGAUAUACCAGAAUAGGAGAAAAAAAAAAGCUCACAAAGAUAUCUGCAAUUGACCAUCUCUGCAAACAACUCUACAGGGAAAAAAUACUGUGCUUUGUACUAGGAAUUACUACAGAUAUUUUUAUUAGGAGUUUUCUACAAUGUAGAUCCCUUUAUUUAUGAGACAAAAAUGAUACAAACUCUUUGCACAUUCCUUGAUUUCAUGUGGGCCGCAAUGGUCAACCGAUUAAUAUUUUUCUUUUAAUUGCUAGUUGAUCUCCUCCUUAAUUACCGAAGUUAUGAGCAGGGUACCAAAUCAUGUAAUGUAAGAUAUUUCCAUACAGCAGACGUUCUUUCUUUAAUAGCGUUUUUAUUGUAUUCAGUCUGCAGAAUAUAAUUUUUCAGCAAUGAAAAGCAGCUACAGAAUCUUAAAUUGUAUAGUUUUCAUUUCCUUAAAAAAUAUUGGAAGGAGUGUUACUUCAGUAAGUUAGUAUAGGUACCGUGACCUAUGUAAAUGAUUUAGGAUUUAAUAGGUUUGACAUUGGAAGGAGGGAAAAUGUACACAAUUGCCUCCGUCUCACCAAUGAAAAAGCUGAAGGGUCUGCACACAUCACCCCUGGCCGCUGCUGUGGGUCAGCACUGCUGCCAGACCAGACAAGAGAGCACUGACUCCUUUGUCUUGCUGAGAGUCCAAAUUUGGGGAAAACCAAAGGGAGCAAUCCCCCAAGAACAUAAACCGCGGUGUAAUUUUCUUUCCGGCCUGUUUAUGACUUGAAUAGAAUUAAAAAGUGCUCUAAGUUCCCCACUUUUCCAAUGUACUUUGUGGAAAGGGCUUUAAUACAAGUGGAGCUAUCUGCUUUAGACCAGAGGGAAGGAAAUAUUUUGGGGCCACAGUGCAAUGCUAAUUUUCCUUGCCAAUCUUUCACCACUGGAGUGGGGUUCUGGUUGGGUCACCGGAAAAUAAACUUGUUUCAAUAGCUUUUCUGCCCAGAUAAGAUCCAAAAGGAGGUAUUUGUGCCAAAUAUCACAGAAAGAUUUGAACAAUAAUGGGCUGCACCGAGCGACAUUUAGAUUAGGUUAUUAAACGAGGGGCAGAGGUUACGUGUGCAUAACACUUUUGCAAGCACUUGGGAAUUUUUUGAACCGAUUUCUGCUGAUUCUUAUCAUAGAGUCGUAGAAUCAAAGAAUCAUAGAAUGGCCUGGUUUGAAAAGGACAACAGUGAUCAUCCACUUCCAACCCCCUGCUAUGUGAAGGGUCACCAACCAGCAGACCAGGCUGCCCAGAGCCACAUCCAGCCUGGCCUUGAAUGCCUGCAGGGAUGGGGCAUCCACAGCCUCCUUGGGCAACCUGUUCAGUGCGUCACCACCCUCUGGGUGAAAAACUUCCUCCUAAAUUCUUCCUGAAUCAAUGACUUUGGUGGGAGGUUUUCUCACAUAAAAGCUCCAGAAUUUGGUCCUAGGUUGAACCGUUUGGGCAGCACCAGAGGAACUGAGAUGAUUGUCCCACCGCUGCUGCGCCAGGCUGACUCCCAGCACCCCAGGAAAAUCUCCUUGGAAAAUCCCAGUGAUGGUUUAUCUGAAAUUAAUUUGCCCACAUUGUUAAGUCAAUUACCCAAAGGAGCAGAGACUCGAUUAAAAAUCUAUUUAGUUCAAUAGGAAACAGUAUACAAUUUUUUUCUCUCCUUGAGUGCAAAGAAUCUUGUUGUAUCCCUGUAUAGAUGAUAAAGGUAGUGCACUACCCACUCCUGCACAAGCAUGACUGAGCAGGCAGAGGUCUGUGUCACCGGCACCGGAGAGAGACGACACGAGGGAUGUGGCAGACAAGUGGGGUCUGUCCCCCGCUGGCACCUGGAUGCUGACCCAUCCCGCCAGGAGGUCGCUGCACCCGUCUCACUCAGAGAAACUCUCCUGUUGUCAAGCCUACAGCAAACUGUGUCCAGACAGAUUGGUGUUCUGCUCAAAGGAGCCCGCAUGAAUCAUGUAUUAGUUCAUUUAAAAGCACUUUGUAGACAAACAUGCUCACUCUAUCAGCAGGCACGGGGAUGCAAAUACUUCACUGGGUGUAUAUGAGCCUUGACAGGACAUCUGUGAUGCAUGGGAUUGAGAAACAGCUCGCUCCAGAAAGAUCAGGCAAUAAUGAGCAAAAAGGCUCACCGUAUUUUGUUCUUUUUAUUUUUUUCUGCAAGAUGAAAAUUUAACUUUGCCAUCGUGUUGGAAGCAGAGUAAACACUAUCAACAGAAAGCCAGCAGCAGGGAGAGGUAAAUGAUUUACAAGAUAUUCUUCAAUCAUUUAGCAGGAAGGCAGAAGGUUUUGGUUGAGGGUCCCGAAUACUCUUGCAGAAGGCAACAACCCCCCAGCAGUGUCUAUGCUGAUACAGCUGCUGUGCAGGAUCGUCCUUCAGAGGAAACUGCAGAGAUCAGUUCUGGAUUGAGAUUGCGUCCCCAGCCUUGGAUCCUUUAACGUCCCAGAAGGCACACAUGAAAAAAGAAAAAUCCCCCUACUUACACUGUGAAGAGGUGCUAACAGCUUUAAAGAAUUACCCACCAAAUAUUAGGUGCAAUUUAAAACUACAUUUAAAGCAGCACGGGUAGUUUAAAAGUCUACGUGGCCGGCUAAAAGUCAGAGAGAGAAAAUUGCUUGAACACGUGUUGGAUGAAUUUCUGUCUGCGUGGGAGAUAUCGCACCAGUGGGGUAAUAUACCCUCCUUUUUCAAAAAAAAAGAGGCAGAUCCUUUAUCUGGUCUUUUGCAUGCUGUGUGAUUCCAAACCUGGGCAAAAGCCUUCAGCUCACUUCCAUUUACUACUCACAGAACACAACUCUGCUAUCUAAAAAUCGUGGAAGAUUAUUUAUAGUGAAAGACAACCUUAGGCUAAACUAUUAAGUGAGGAUAAUGGAUAUGAGCCACCUAAGGCGUGUGGAGGGCUCCUUAAUGAAUUACUGGAUAAAACAAAGUCAGAUGCGCUCAGGUAGCGUCCAGUUCAAGCAGUGUGCUGUUAGAGGGCCAAGGAAGGCUCACCUCAUGUCAAGACCUGGAAACUGCACCACAGAGUGUUCCAGGCAUUGCCCUACACCCACUUCGAGGUCUCUUCAAGGGCUGCUCAGAUCAUCCUCUACAAUAUUUACUCAGCUUAUUGUAUGCUGUAUCAAUUUAAAGGUGCGCUGUAACUUAUUAGAUAGUUAUUAGCUUCCAUUUUUAGCCCUGAUCUAUUUCAUAGACCCUGAUGCCCCCUAUUUUAUGUAAGAAAGGACGUUUUAAUAGAUAUAAUCUAAAUUAGUUGGUAACUCGAUAACUUGUUCCAGUCUGCUUCUCUAAUGAAACCUGCAUUAAUGACCGCCUUCAGUAGGCAAUCUCGAACUUUAAGAAGGCACUUUAAAAUAUUCAUAACAUUUCUGGUGCAGUGUUGUUUGAACUGUAUUUAACAGACAUCUCAAAUGGGCGUUCUGGUGCUUUGCAGGAGUCAUUGUCAAUAAUGACUUUUGCAGCCCUGUCUUUGGGGCCAGGGCAGUAAUUUUGGUCGUGGCCAUGGGGCCAAGUCCCCAUGUGUCCCGUGUACUGGGCCAGAUGUGAGGAAAAAAGCAACAAAUUAAGUAAUAGUCCACACUGUAAUUGGGAAUAAACUUCCUGGAGGAUUAGUCAAGGCACAAAUUUCUGAAAGACUUUAAAAAAAUAACUGACAGAAGGUUUACUUGUAACCUAAAAUCUUUCAAAAAGGGAAAAGAGUCAAACUGCAAUAAUUAAUAUUAAAUACUUAGUGUGCAAUUAAUGGUAAUUAUAUAUAUAAAAAAAGCAACCAAUUAAAUGCUGCAACAUAAUGCACCCGAAAUCUUGUAAACGAGUGGCAUUUGUAGCAAAUGCUAAGAGCUCCUUUAAGCCAGUCACUUCUUAAAGGCUUUUGCUUUGGGAAUAAGUGUUACCUUAAUACAUUUACUUAGAUACGAUGAAAGUCAGACUUAACCUUUGCACAGUUGAAAUAACUUUAGCAACAAAACAAUGGAGUAAAUGUGAACCUCUUCUGCAAAUGCAAAUGGUAAUGCAAUCAGUGCUCAGUAAAUAAAUAUAAACACGUUUGAGCCAUAAACUGACCAGUAGCUGUUAUAGGGGUUGUCCUGAUCCCUGCUGAGCAGAGGUGGCAUCCAUAACCAGGUGCUCCUGGGACACUGAAAUGCUAUUCUGCAUCGCCUCUUCUAUCAGCUAUUACAAAAUAAAUCCAAGUCUAACUCAGUGAGAAUUCCCAAGGAGAAGAGAGUGCUAAAUGGGUUUUAAACAGUCCAAACCCCAGUGCAUGAGCAGAAUUUGGGCCAAAAGUCCUGCCAGGGGCCAGUCAGCAGGAGCCCGCUGCCAAGUGCUGAUCCUUAGAUCAACACCUCAUCCGUAAGAGGAGCCCAGUCUGGAAAUCAAAGGAAGCCCACCAGAAAAAAAAAAAAAUGUAAAAAAAAAAAAGCCAUAAAUCUGUGUUGGCUCCCAGCCCAGUGUGAUCUUACAGUAUGUUUUUGCUGAUGCUGCUUCUGGGAUGGGACAAAGGAAAUGGAUGACACGGAGAUGUCGGUGGCAGGAAGACCACCAGAUUGCCCGUAAAGAAGCAGCAGGCAGCGGGUGUAUGUGACAGGGCUGUCAUGGGGCUACAAGUUCAUCCCUCCAACUAUUUUUCUGCCUUGUGAGGUUUGCAGCAGCUCAGCUGCAACAUCUAAAGUGUGCUGGGAAGGGCUCUGUUGGAGAGGUGCAGUGCUGUGUGCUGGCAACGAGUGGAAGAGCAGCAGGGCUCACUUCAACGAUGGUUCUGUGAAAGCAGAAAGCAUCCCAACAAGUGGAAGGGACCUGAGGUUCUGCCACUGCAAAAUCAACAUCAGAUUCUGCUGAAAUUCCCUUGGGCAGUUACGGAGUGGGUAUUUCUCUGAGAGAUGUCCAAAUUGGAUGCACAGCACACCCAAAAACCAGGACUACAUCCCCCAAAAAUAUGGACCAGUGUUACGUCUCCGCUCCUCUUGUAAGCAGCUCCUCUGCAAACACAUCUGAACUAUUUCACUUACAGGCUUUGGUUUUAGCAAUUCCUUACUUAGUAUUUCUAAGGACUCAUCUGUAGGAUAUUAUAUAAACAUAAAUAUAUAUAAAAUAACAGAUAAUUACAGUAAGUUACAAAUGUGCGUUCUUCAUCAGCAGUACCAGUGAAGGAGGACACAGUUAACCAGUCAAAAAGGGUGACCAAAUCUUGUUUCUUUUCUUAAAGAAAGAGAUCAACCAAACCUGUUAAUCCAUUUGUUGCUUUCUGCUCUUCUUUUUGCGUAGUUGCUUUCAUUUUUUAUUUGCUUUCAUAUGCACAAGAGAAUGAAAAUCUGUUUGCGGCUGGAACUUCUACAGCACAUCACGUAUUUUCUUUCUUUUUUCUUAUUAUUUUUUGUCUCCCAUAAUUAUUUUUCCAGAGAGCUGCUUUUCCAAUCAGGUCACCAACUCUGAAAAACAAAACUUCAAGGCAACGUUUUGAAAAAUUGGACCUCACUUUUCUUUCAGUAGAAAGAUUCACAUCAUUCGUGUGCAAGCCAAGGCUCAAAAAUAACAUAAAUCCUUUCAGUGCCGUCUCUCUCUUUGCCUGUGUAACAGAUAUCUCUGCUAACAUUUACUUUUGUAAUUUUUCACAUUGUUCUAGCUCUCAGAGGUUAAUAUUUACCAUUCAUUUUGGUAUUCACAAGCUACAGAGGUAAGCUUGCAAAUAUCUGCCUUGGGAAAAUGAGCAGUUCUGCCAGAAAAUAUGUUCAGGUUUCUUGGUGGAACUGUGGGAGACAACACUCCAUUGACAGCAUUUCACUGCAUUCAUCUGUUCGUGCUUUAAACAUCUGCGCCAUCAAUUCGUACAGUACAACAAUUGGUAUUUUGAAGGGAUAACCAGAUAAUUACAGCAAAUGUUUAUUAGUCUCUUUGAACGGCGAGCAUGCAUUGGGAAAAAAAAGUAAGCAAGCUUAUGAAAGAAUACAGGGAACACAGACAUGUUUGGGAAGUCACUGCUAUUAUAUCCUUACACCAACCAGGCAGUCGUUCUGUGGUUGGCAUCUGCACACACAGACAGUGCCGUGUGCUAGCAAAAUUCAUCAUAAGACAGAGCUGCCUGCACAAGCUGACCCACUGCUUGCAAUAAUAUCAAAUCCUAAAUGAAUUAAUUUGCUUGCUGACCAAGUAGUUUGCCAUAUUAAAGUGCAAGUUUGCAAGACAUGUAUUCUAUUAUCCCAGAUUGCACUCCUGACACUUUACAUUAUGAACAUUUAGUGUUCUUCCUUUGAUAUUUUGAACACUGACUACAAUGAAGCUGUCAGCACAAAGGAAUUUUUUAUUCAAUUUUCAGAUGUAACAAGCAAGGAUCUUACAGGAACUUCAUUAAGACUAUGGAAACAAUAGGGAUUCAAUUAUCUAGCUAUGGAAGACAGAAGAGUAUCUUGCGAUGGGCACAGUAAUCAGAGAUACGAAACAGUUUGUGGGGAGAGGAGAGGAGCAAUUUUACUUGGUUUCUAACAUGUGGAAAACAGUAUUUACUCCAAAUGCUCAUUUAGUCCAAGUGCUCAUAGUGACUAAGAGAGUGAUGAUUUACUCGGAGGCUGCACUAAGCUUGUACUGCUCUUGUCACCAUGAUCUAACGCUGGUAGUACAUUGUGAGCAAGCAGAGAUCAUUGAUUAACACUGCCAGACAGCUGCGUUGGAAUCAUCAAGUCAAUACUCUGUGCUCUUGGUCAAAAAAAAAAAAAAAAAGAAGAAGAAGAAGAAAGAAAAACUCCAACACAAAAAUAAUAACGAAAGAAGAGAUUGCUGCAUUUUUAUCAGCACGAGCUAUGUAAUCUAGAUUUAGUCAUCCACAGGGAGGGCAAAACUCCCACAGGGAGAGCAAAUUUGUUUUGUCACAUCUUUGCAUGUAGCUAAAAUUCGAGCACUAGUACUAAUUCCCCUAAAGCAGGCUGCAGCCCACCCAGCCUCCUGAGGCAAGAGGAGACCAGAUAUGAAUGCAUAUAUGUAUAUAUAUUUACAGACCACAUGAAACUAAAUUUAAUAAACAUUCCAGGAAGGAACGGACUUGGCAGAAUAGCCAGACAAUGAAAUAAAGUUUUUUUACUGCAUGGUUGUGUUUUAAGACCUUGCAGAAAAUGAACUCCUCAGCGAUUGCAUUCUGAUGGCUCUGGGAAUGCUUUUCAGUGUGCCAUAUUGUAUCACUUUCCACUGGACAGUGAUUGUUUUAAAGCCACAACAUAAGACACAAAUAUUUGAUUAAAAUGAAUUCCACCCUAAAAGUCUGGGUGUUCUUUUUUUAGGGAUUCAGAUGCAAAAAAUGAGCUGACUGUGGUCUGCUGAGGUCCCAGCAGUAUUGUCUGAUGCAAAAGUUCAGCUGUACAGGGAUUCAUUUGGAGUACUCACCGCCACUGAAAAUAGUAAUAAACAGUGUUUUGCAAUGGUCUUUGCAUUUCUUUAUCUGUCCUUAUUGUGUCUGAGAUGCAGAGAUGAGAACACUGCUUUAUCUCAUCUGCUUCAUCAGAGCUGCAAUUGGAGCAUAUACAAGCAAUAGUGUUUUAAAGUGCCACUAGAAUUGUAGCUCUAUCCAGGUUACACGAUAAAAUAACAAAUGAGAGAAAGAAUACUGGAGGUCGUGGAAAUACGGACCUAUAAAGAUACACCUCGGAUUCCCAUGCAUACUCAAGUAACAAGGUAGGACUGCAGGGAACAAGUUGAUGGCUUUCUCCGUGCAGCACUGCAGACAAUGAUGCUUUUUCACUCAAAUUCAUUUGCUUAUGGGGAACCAGGGAAAUUUUGACGAGAACUGGCCAAAGCUUAAUCUUUUCAGUCUAUAAAAAAUUUAAACAGUUUGCUCCCAUUUCAUAAAUGUUGACAUUUCCCACAGAGGGAGAAAAUAUCAUAUCAGAAUGUUUCCUUAAAAAGAAAUAGGAAAGGGCCCUGCGAUGGGUCUGCGAAGCUUGUUGAAUACCCAAUCUGCCAGGAGCCAACAGCAUGGGGUCUGCUUGACCAGCGGCUGGAGCACUCCUGGGAGCUGAGGCCUCACUUCAAAAGGGUUCAGCACAGCUCACAGCAGCCCCACACUGGCAGAGGAAGAGCUGGGUGAUGUGGAGGGGCCUCUAAAAGCUGUAACCCCUGGGCUCGGUCUCUCUGGCAAACUAUGAGGUAAGCAAGCUGCUGACUUAAGUACAAAGUGAUCUUCUCUCUGGGCAUCAAUGGGUGCUUCUGCAAAGUGUUUCAGCUUCAAGGAGUCUUUAUGGAUAAAAUAAAUAUAAAAAUAAAAUAAAAAAAAGCAAAGCAUUUCUCCUUGCCGUUUCAUUAGAGGCUGCUAAAACCCACAAGCACCACGUCAAGAAGCAGAGCUGUGGGAGGUGCCAUGCCUGCCUUUACACUGGGAUUGAUCUCACGUACAGCUGGGAUUAGCAGUGGGCUGAGUCAUAUUCCAGUCAUUUCCUUCCAGAGAAAAGGGAAUAAAGAACGGGCCUGACACUGAGUUGUGGUACUCCUACCCCAUGUUUUUGAUUGCGUGUGAGGUCCUGGUGCUUCUACAUGGCCAAGGUCAAAGGGAAAGCCCACAAAGCUCCACUGGGUUGCAGAAGUGACCUCUGUGGAGUUGAGGUCUGGAUGUCUAAAUAGGAUGGGAUUAGCUAUUCCACAGCACACCUGAUGUAAUGCAGCUGAGCAGGAGAACCAGAACAGUAGCUUUUUCUUCUGCCAUUUAACAUACCUCAUAACCCUGAGGACAUUGUCUUAACCAAAGGCUUGAACUCUGGAUGAAUUGUAAUUCUCACAGCAUCGAAACCCAGGAGAGUGCAAUGCUUGCCAGAAAGAUCCUGAAGGGGAGAAGAAAAAAAAAAAAAUGAACAAACUUGAUAAUUAUGGUUAAAAAAAAGAGAGAGAGAGAGAGAGAAUAUGCACAUCCAUAGUUUUGCUAAGUUUGGGGUUGACGAGAAGAAUCAAAGUGGUAGCCUGGAGAGAAAAUCUGUAUUUGAGGUGUGAGGUUAACUGACAAAAAAAAUCAAACUUAAGACUGAAGUGCAUAACUUAAAGAACAACUAAAACCUACAAGGAACCUUUCAAGAAAAAAAGCAUCAGAUUACAUUUUAUGACCAAGAGGCAAAGCUAAGAAAAAUAUUUCAAACAGAAGAGCUGUUAUUUUUGUAGCUUUGAAACAAUACGUAACUAGCACAGAAGAUAAUACGAUACAAGACAGGUAAUCCAAUCAUUUAAGAGUUUACGGCUGCAGUCUUCUCCACAAGAGAGAUUCGACUGUGCUUCGUCUCUUUCCAUAAAUGAAUAAAUUCGGGAAAUCGUAAGCACGGGUAUUCGGAUUUGUUUUCUCUUUCGAGGCUUGAAAAAAUCAGAGCCAGUGGCCUUGAGUGCUGCAGGAGACCUUCCACAGUGAGCCUGUAUUGCAUCCACACACAAAGCAAAAUUAAUCCGAACGGCACUGCUCCCCCAGCACGCUUUCUUUAAUAAUUUGAUUUCAUCAUCAAGUUUAAUUGCAGAUUUCAAAGUUCUUUACCUGCGCAAUCCUGAGCUGAUACCGGAG